RNAcentral lists this ribosomal RNA (695 nucleotides) under Pediococcus pentosaceus. Its description in RNAcentral is "bacterial SSU rRNA". It matches the Rfam family "Bacterial small subunit ribosomal RNA", at positions 81 to 763 of the family's 1533-position model. The record is from RNAcentral. Lineage: Bacteria; Bacillati; Bacillota; Bacilli; Lactobacillales; Lactobacillaceae.
UUAACACGAAGUGAGUGGCGAACGGGUGAGUAACACGUGGGUAACCUGCCCAGAAGUAGGGGAUAACACCUGGAAACAGAUGCUAAUACCGUAUAACAGAGAAAACCGCAUGGUUUUCUUUUAAAAGAUGGCUCUGCUAUCACUUCUGGAUGGACCCGCGGCGUAUUAGCUAGUUGGUGAGGUAAAGGCUCACCAAGGCAGUGAUACGUAGCCGACCUGAGAGGGUAAUCGGCCACAUUGGGACUGAGACACGGCCCAGACUCCUACGGGAGGCAGCAGUAGGGAAUCUUCCACAAUGGACGCAAGUCUGAUGGAGCAACGCCGCGUGAGUGAAGAAGGGUUUCGGCUCGUAAAGCUCUGUUGUUAAAGAAGAACGUGGGUAAGAGUAACUGUUUACCCAGUGACGGUAUUUAACCAGAAAGCCACGGCUAACUACGUGCCAGCAGCCGCGGUAAUACGUAGGUGGCAAGCGUUAUCCGGAUUUAUUGGGCGUAAAGCGAGCGCAGGCGGUCUUUUAAGUCUAAUGUGAAAGCCUUCGGCUCAACCGAAGAAGUGCAUUGGAAACUGGGAGACUUGAGUGCAGAAGAGGACAGUGGAACUCCAUGUGUAGCGGUGAAAUGCGUAGAUAUAUGGAAGAACACCAGUGGCGAAGGCGGCUGUCUGGUCUGCAACUGACGCUGAGGCUCGAAAGCAUG